ACCACUUCUUGGUCUUUUGACUAAGAUCAAGUACAGCAUCUGUUCUUAUCAGUGUAAAAGACACCAGAGAGACCUUAUACUUUUAUUAACUCCUAUACCUUUGACUACACAUAUUCCUCCAGAGCCAUGACUCCAU
This 136-nucleotide small nuclear RNA is filed under the name Otolemur garnettii (small-eared galago). Its description in RNAcentral is "U2 spliceosomal RNA". It matches the Rfam family "U2 spliceosomal RNA". From Rfam's summary of the family: U2 is a small nuclear RNA (snRNA) component of the spliceosome (involved in pre-mRNA splicing). Complementary binding between U2 snRNA (in an area lying towards the 5' end but 3' to hairpin I) and the branchpoint sequence (BPS) of the intron results the bulging out of an unpaired adenosine, on the BPS, which initiates a nucleophilic attack at the intronic 5' splice site, thus starting the first of two transesterification reactions that mediate splicing. The record is from Rfam by way of RNAcentral. Lineage: Eukaryota; Metazoa; Chordata; Mammalia; Primates; Galagidae.